RNAcentral lists this long non-coding RNA (5061 nucleotides) under Nicotiana tabacum (common tobacco). Its description in RNAcentral is "long non-coding RNA (NTAB_LNC006014)". Lineage: Eukaryota; Viridiplantae; Streptophyta; Magnoliopsida; Solanales; Solanaceae. The record is from RNAcentral.
GGAGUAAUAAGUACAUGGUGAACUAACCUUACCCCAAAUGGGCACAAGUGAACAAGCAGAGUAUACUAGGGCACUUGAGAGAACCAAAGCCAAUCCAAUUGUUUCCUUGCAGCCAGUGGAUGAGAGUGACAGUUCCUGUUUAAGCUGGGUAUGGAAAAGGAAAAAUAGCCUAUGCUUAAAGAGUUUCCAUUAACAGGCCUAAGCGUGAACCUAUCCAACUAGUGCCAUAUGAGUCAGGUUAUCUUUCGUUCAAUUAUUUUUGGUGACAUUGCUAAAUCCCUAUAUAAGCUAGGAUUUUUCGAGCCUCUGUUUUUUGAUUUGGUUAUAUUAGAGAAGUUUUGUAGCUGGACCAUGCUGCUUAUUCUCGUUGUUCGUCUUACUCUUGAAGGUUCUUCUUCUUCUGGUUGCAAGGAAGUUAGGUAUUUUUGUUCCUCUUCUGAUUUGCAUGAUACUUGUUUGAAUGUCUCUAUCUGUUAAUUGCUCUAUUUUGCUAUGACUCCAAUUGAUUAUGAUAUUAGUAGUGGCUCCACUAGGUGAGGUUUUUGAGUUUACUCCUAAAAUCCCAAGUCCACUUUUUAUUAAUUCCUCUGAUAUACCUGGUCUUCCCCUAGUUGUUGUCCUAUUUUUCAGUUCCAAUUUCAGUUGUUGGAGAAAGAGCAUGAUUGUAUCUUUGUCAUCUAGAAAUAAAAUUGCCUUUAUUGAUGAUACUCUACCCAAAUCCCUUGCCAAUUCUCCUGAAGCCAAACAAUGGGAUAGAUGUAAUAAUAUUGUCAUUUCCGACUAUUUUUCUGUCUUAUGAUAUUACUGAGAAUGUUCGGUAUUCUGACACAAUUGAAGAUAUAUAGAAACAAUUAAAUAAGGAUAUGGAACUGUAGAUGGCACUAAGGUCUUUGAAAUUAAGAAAGAACUGGCCUCUAUCUUUUGAUAUUGCCUCCUAUUUUAACAAAUUAAAGAAAUCAUAGGAUGAGUUAAGGGUCAUACGUCAAAUUAUGGUAAUACUUGCACUUCUACUGCUAAAGCUAGUAGUCUAAAGGAAGAAGAGCAAGAUAGUGUACAUCAAUUUUUUAUGGGAUUGAAUGACAACUAUGUCAGUGUUAAUUGUAACCUAGUCAUGAUGCAGUCAAUCCCAUCUCUAGACAGUGCCUAUAAUAUUCAGCUUCAAGAUGAGAGGCAGAGGCAAGUCAAUCCAUCCUCUCACUUUAGCCCUGAAUCUGCUUCAUUCAUUAUCAACUCUACCCGCCCUUCUCGGUCCUAUCCCCCUCAGAAGCACUAUCCUUAAAGGGUGAACUUUGACCCAAAAAGAGCAGCUCUAUUUUGAAAAUACUUCAAGAAAUCUGGUCAAUUGAUUAACAAAUGCUACAAAUUAUAUGGGUUCCCACCUCACUUCAAGUUCAUCAAGCGUUGAAAGCAUGCUGCAUAUGCUGAGGUUGAAUGGUCUCCUCCAAUAAUGAGUCAUCUACGUAUGCGCUAGUCCAACAAUCCUCCUAUCAGUCUAACUCUGGUUUUUGGUUCUUGGGUUGACCGAGGAUAAAUACACCUAGCUAAUGUCGAUUAUGUAACACAUUCAUAUGCCAAAGUCUCUCUCCCUCAGUCUAGUCUUGUUGCAUCUGCCAAUUUGGCUGGUAAUAUUUCUUUAGCUAGCUGUGUAGAAGUGUCUUAUAGUACUUCAUUGUAAAGUAGAGUUGCUGAACAUAGUUGGAUUUUGGAUUUUGGAGCUAUAUAUCACAUGACUUCACACAAAGAUCUCCGAUCUAAUAUUUAGCCUCUAGUUGUUCCUUAUAUUGUUACCCUUCCCAGUGGUUAUAAUGUAAAGGUUCUCUCAUUUUCUUUUCAUUUACUUUGCAUCAUGUGCCGUUUCUCCCUACUUUUCAAUACAAUCUUAUCUCUAUGUCUCAACUAGCUAUCCAACUACAUGAUUUGAUUCAAUUUAUCUCACUUUUAUGUACUUUACAGGCCCCUUUACUAAAAAGGACACUGGAAGUUGGUAAGUUGGAGCAUGGACUUUACAAAAUUCUAAUGUCUCCAACUCAGUUUAAGCAUGUUGAUUCCAAAUAUUGUUAUUUAGUUUUUGCUGCCUUACUAUCUAUUUCAUAUGAUAACUCUCAUUGUAAAUCUUAUUUUAUUGUUUCUGCAUCAUUUUGAUAUCAAUAAAGAUGAAGUCUUAUGGAAUCAAAGAUUGAGACAUAUUCCUUUUGUUGGAAUGAAAGAUAUUGCUAGUAUUCCUUGUAAAUUUUCUUCUAAACAUUCAUUUACCUGCUUUACUUGUCCUAUGGCUAGACAAUCUAGGUUGCCUUUCCCCGAUAGAUGCAUUAAGACUUCUCAUCUUUUCAAACUUAUUCAUGGUGACACUUGGAGGCCUUAUUCUACACCUACUUAUAAUUGUUAUAAUUACUUUCUCACUAUUGUUGACGAUUUUACUAGGACUACUUGGAUCAACUCAUGGGUUCCAAAAGUAACGAUUUUUCUUUACUUCAAUCUUUUAUUUUCAUAGUUCAAACUCAAUUUCAGACCAAAAUGCAGUCCAUUAGAAGUAACAAUGCAUUGGAACUUGGUUCUAGUAACCACGGUGUCCAACUUUUUAGAGACCAAGGGAUAAUUCUCCAAACUACCUGUCCACAUAUACCUCAACAGAAUAGUGUUGUAGAGAUAAAACAUAAAUACUUGUUGAAAACAUCAAGGACUCUCCUUUUUGAGUCUAAGUUGCCUAUCAGAUUUUGGGGGAAUUUGUACUUACUACCAUAUACCUUAUCAACAGAUUUCCUUUUAAGUUGUUACAUGAUAAAUCCCUUUUUGAAUUUCUUAAUGGUCAUGCACCCACUUAUUCUCAUUGAAACCUUUGGUUGUCUUUAUUUUCAUACAAUUCCCAAGUAUCAUAGGGAUAAGUUUCAUCCUAGUGCUGGCCCUUAUGUGUUCAUUGGCUGUCCUCUUGCCAAAAUGGGUUUCAAGUUCUAUAACUUGUCUACUAAGCAGGUUCUUGUUUCAAGGAAUGUCACUUUUCUUGAGCACGUUUUCCUAUUUGACGAAUGUGCAACUUCUUCUUCUUUGCCUCUCCAUAUACUAUUCUUGUUUUCUCUUUUUAUUCUUCUGAUUAUGUUCCCACUUCUUCUCCUACUCCUCCAUAUCCCUCUUCAGUUCCCACUUCUUUUUUGCCUCUAUCUACUUCUAUUUCUCCAUCUACUUCCUUUCAUAUCCCUGCUUCUCCUUUCUUCUCUACUAUUCCUGAGCCUCUCUGUCUUCAGGCUCCCAAAAAGUCCUCUAGAGAUCAUCAUUUACUAUCACAUUUUAUUGAUGAUGUGUGUGACCUUUCUCCUUCCCUAAAUGGCUCCAAUUCUUUAUCUUUUGUUAUUCUAUGGUUUAUUAAUAGUGUUUCUAUGAAAAAGGCAUUUGAGGCACUUGAGGCUAACAAUACUUGGGUUGCCUGAAAGAAAAAAAUUUAUUGACUGCGAAUGGGUUUAUAAAGUCAAAUAUAAAGCUAAUAGUGGCAUGAUUAUGAAAGGGGACACUCAGGUGGAAGGGGUAGAUUUUAAUGAUACUUUCUCCCCUAUCAUUUAUUCUAUACUAUCAAGUGUCUUAUGGUUAUGGAAGUUAAAAGAAAAUGGCCGCGCUUUCAAUUUGAUAUUAAUAAGGAUUUUUUGCAUGGUGAUUUGAAUGGAGAGAUAUACAUGAAGCUUCUCCCUAGUUUGUGUACUGACUACUGAGUCUAUUUCUAGUUCUUCUCCCCCUUUGGUGUGCAAGCUUCAAAAAUCAUUAUAUAGUUUGGGGCACCUUUAAGGCAGUGGUAUGCCAAGCUUUCUCAAGCAUUGUGCUCUAAAUAUUUUGUCCACUUUAUGAAUGAUUACUCACUGUUUGUCAGGCAUUAUUCCUCCUCUGUAGUUCUUAUUGUUGUUUAUGUAGAUGAUAUCAUCUUGAAUGAAAAUGAUGAUACUGAAAUUGCUACUUUAAGGGUUUUCUGGAUACCUAGUUUAAGAUUAAAGAUCUGGGUACUCUCAAUUAUUUUUUGGGUAUUGAGGUUGCACAUUUUGCUUUGGCUCCUUCUUCAUCAUCACAAGUUCAUUUCUGACCUAUUGACGGAAUAUAAAUGUGCUGAUGCAACUCUUGUUAAUUGUCUUUUAGACCUGAAUGUUAAGCUGAAGGCUGAUGUGGGUGAGUUACUUCCUUCUCUUAAAUCUUAUCGCAACCUGAUUGAGAAUUGAAUUUUCUCACUCAUACGCGACCAGAUUUAUAUUAUGUUGUGCAACAUUUGUGUUAAUUCCUCUAAACCCCUCGUCUUUCUCACAUUGCUUCUGCUUUACACUUAUUGCGCUACCUCCAGGGUACAUCUGAUGUUGGUGUGUUCUUUAAUAAAUCUUCUGACUUGUCUUUGUCUGGGUUCUACAAUAGUGAUUGUGCUUCUUGCCAUGACACUCAUUUGUCUGUUUCUGGAUUUUGUGUGUUUUUGGGUGGUCUCUUAUUGGGUGGAAGUCCAAUAAAUAACAUGUAGUCUCUUUAUCUUCAGCUGAGGCUAAAUAUCGUGCUAUUAGAGAGCUGGUUGCUGAAUUGACUUAGAUGGUCUAUUUAUUCGCUGAUUUUGGUGUUUCUGCUGAUGCUAACAUCCCUAUUUUUGUGACAAUCAGGUUGCCAUUCACAUUGCUCGCAAUCUUGUCUUCCAUGAAUGCACGAAACACAUUGAACUGGAUUGACAUUCCAUUCGUCAUAAGCUUGUUGAAGGCCUGGUUGAUCUACAUUAUGUUUCCACUUCUGUCCAACUGCUAAUGUGCUCACCGAGCCCCUCACUGGUGUUCAAUCAUUCUAAGUUGUCCAAGUCGGGGGUUGUAUCACCCUCCAACUUGAAGAGGGGUGUUGGACCUCCUACUUUACAUGGAAAGACUAAUUGGAGAAGGCUCAACCUAAUGGGAAGACAUGGGCUACUAACUUGGGCCUUUGUAUAGAUUAGUAAUUAUUUAUGUCUGUUUAUUCGUUUAGAUUUCGGGUCCUGGCCUAAUGUAUAUAAAUGAUUGGAUCUUCUGGAAUAGAUGGACGAUUAUCAUUUUUUCACGCAAAUAAGAAGACAUUUUCUCUCAA